Long non-coding RNA from Neopelma chrysocephalum (saffron-crested tyrant-manakin), 2537 nucleotides. RefSeq lists it as uncharacterized. The transcript has 4 exons. The record is from RefSeq and is a predicted model, not a curated record. NCBI's taxonomy places the organism in Eukaryota, Metazoa, Chordata, Aves, Passeriformes, Pipridae.
UUAUUAUCCUCUUUACUGUUUGAGCAUCUACCUCACAUUUUACUUUGUGACAUAAUUGAAAUAAUUUAUUUAUAAGGAAUAUGCAGGAGUGCCAGUCCAGACUAUGGCUGAUCCAACUGGUCUGCUUUAUUAUGGAUAAAUAGAAAUUAACAUCUAAAAGCACAGUACUUCUCCAACUGUUUAUGCAUAAGAUAAAGUAUUGUUAAUUUUAUCAUGAGAUAGUUACUGUGUGGCUUUGACAAGUUGUUUUGCCACUUUGUAUUAGCUGUAACUAUCAUAAUUAUCCAGGAUAAGACUCUCAAAUGACUUGCUUUUAUUUCAUUUCUUAUCAAGCAUAAUAGUAAAUUUAGGUUAGUGGGACAAAUUAUAAUUUUUAGUCACUCUCAGAGCCAUGAGAAAGGUUGCUUUUUUCACCACAAAAAGCAUAUAAUACUGCCUCAUCUUGUGAGAUAAGUAAUAAGCGUUAUAUUUCCUUUUCUGUUGGUUGUGUUGGAGUCUUUAUAGUUUGCCUGAGACAAGGGAAGUCAUAAAAUUAUCCUUGCAUUCUUUUCACCUGCAUCAAGCUUCCCUGUAGCCACACAUAGCUAUGCUACAUGUCAGCAAGAUUCCUUUGAAAGAACAGUACACUGGAGUUUCUUUAGUGAAAAACCACACAUUCCCAUGGAAACUGCAGUUGAACAUAUUCUGUCCAAACUACAUACCCAUCACAAAAUGUUAGAAUUGAAUUGUUUCUUUGAUUCAGUUGCAGCACAGCUCCCUGUGUUGUCUCUUGCAGUUGAGAUAUUAAGGCUUAUGUCAAAACAAGCCAGAAUCUUUCUGACCGUCUCCUUUUUUGAAGGGAGGAGAUUUUAGGGAACUAUACUGCUAUUCCUUUUCAUUUAAUGAUGAAUUGUUUUACCAGUUCUGAUAAUCUGUAGCCACUUAAGCUUCCGGGGUUUUUUUUGAAUUACAUCACUGAAAGCAACAACUUGUUAUUGUGUCCUUCUGUGUGCACCAUUGAGGUAUUAAUUGCAUUGAGAGUUGGUAAGACUUGAGAAGUUGCAGAGAAACUUAUUCCAGGCCUAUUCCAUACGACAUACUCCCCAACCCAAGAUCACUUGAAAGAUGAGCACAGCAAUCCUACAAUUAUCUGUCUGAAUGGAACCAAAAUUCACUCCGAAAUAGAGCAAUACAUCAUCCAGGGCUGUCUGCUUUCUUUGUGUUAUGUGCAUUGAACUGGAUCUUCUUUUUCUUUUGUUCACUGUUUUUAUCUCUCCAAGAGGUUUAUUCUCUGAGAAACAACACUGAGGAGUCAGCUGCUUUUGAUGUGCACUUUGCUGUAUAACCUGUGUCUCACUUGAGGAGGAGUAUGCAGGCUGCUUCAAGCAAAAUUGUCAGUAAUGCUUUUAUUUAAAUCUGUGUCUGUUCUUACACAUUUCAGAAUACCUUGGGAGGAAGGCUGUGUUUUGUUUCAUUGAGUAGAGGUAUUACUCUGGCUUUGUCACAAUGGCAUGUGUAAAUGCGAACUCUGUUCAAUUUGGGAAUGUGCAAACCAGUAGAUAGCCUUGCUAAAGAUUGUCUUUCGAAAGUCAUUUUGCUUAUGUCAGGAAGAGGACAAGAGAAGUAUCACAGACUCCCAGGGCUGUGUAAUUCUUCUUAGAAAAUGACUUUAAAAUGGUUUGGGUUGAGUGCCAAAAGCACUCCACUGCCAGUGCACUUGGAUGGCAGGAGAGUGUGCUUUCUCCAUACAGUCAUAGUGUUUCAUGCCGUUGUCACGUUGAAGGACACAGUUUCAUUCAUGGGCAUUAAAUGUGAUAUUAUUCAGGAAAAUGCUCAUUAGCUCUAUUUAAAAACAAAUAAAUAAAUAAACAAAUAUACACAUGAACACUGAUUUCAAAGUCAUGAUGUUAAUUGCUUUUUUGCUUUUGUUGUUAUUUUCAUUUCUGUAACCUGCAGGUGAUGCUCUCCACAACCACAGUGCUCUGUUCCUUGAGAACAGCUCUUUGAACAUACCUUUCUCUCAGGAGAGUUCUGGAUCUCCAAAUACAUCUGAUCAACCACAAGGGAAAACAAGAAAGUUGAGCUUGGCCAGCACAAACAGUGAAAACUCAGGGUCAACAGAAAGCUUGCCAUCAGCAUACCUCACCAACAUUACUGCAAAGUGGUGGGGAACAAAACGAAUAGAUUAUGCGUUGUAUUGUCCAGAUGUGCUGACAGCCUUUCCAACGGUGGCCCUUCCGCAUCUCUUCCAUGCCAGCUACUGGGAGUCAACAGACGUUGUGGCUUUCAUUCUAAGACAGGUGAUGAGGUAUGAAAAUACAAAUUUCAAGGAAAAUGACAAUCUGGAUCCAGAAACACUAAGUCCAUCUAAUCCACGAGAAAAAUGGCUACGCAAAAGGACACAUGUCAAAUUGAGAAAUGUGACUGCUAAUCACCGAGCUAAUGAUGUCAUUGCAGCAGAAGAUGGUCCUCAGGUACUAGUUGGGCGCUUUAUGUAUGGACCUCUGGACAUGGUGGCUUUAACAGGUGAAAAGGUGAAGUCUGAGUACUCAAUUUUC